AAGAUUCAUCAGCUCUGACUCUUUAGGAGAACUAGCACUCAUCCACACAGGCCCCCCCGCCUCUGCCCGCAUUUGGCGCGGCCCGACUCUGCCGUGUCCGCGCCGCGCUUACGUCAUUCCGCUUCCGGCGUCUCGCGGAGUUCCGCCAUGGCCUCCAAGACAGCGAACCGUACCCCUCCGAGGUCUCGUCGGGAGCCGGCGGGGCGCCCCCCGGGACGGGACAAGUACUCGGUGCUGUUGCCCACCUACAACGAGCGCCAGAACCUGCCGCUCAUCGUGUGGCUGCUGGUGAAAAGCUUCUCCGAGAGUGGAAUCGACUAUGAAAUUAUAAUCAUAGAUGAUGGGAGCCCAGAUGGAACAAGGGAGGUUGCUGAACAGUUGGAGAAGAUCUAUGGAUCAGACAAAAUUCUUCUAAGACCACGGGAGAAAAAGUUGGGACUAGGAACUGCAUAUAUACAUGGAAUGAAACAUGCCACAGGAAACUAUAUAAUUAUUAUGGAUGCUGAUCUCUCACACCAUCCAAAAUUUAUUCCUGAAUUCAUUAGGAAGCAAAAGGAAGGUAAUUUUGACAUUGUCUCUGGAACUCGCUACAAAGGAAAUGGAGGUGUUUAUGGCUGGGAUUUGAAAAGAAAAUUAAUCAGCCGUGGGGCCAAUUUUGUAACUCAGAUUUUGCUGAGACCAGGAGCAUCUGAUUUAACAGGAAGUUUCAGGUUAUAUCGAAAAGAAGUUCUACAGAAAUUAAUAGAAAAAUGUGUUUCUAAAGGCUACGUUUUCCAGAUGGAAAUGAUUGUUCGAGCAAGACAGUUGCAUUAUACUAUUGGCGAGGCCAAAGAGAAGAGCCCAUGAUCACUGCCUUGGAAGAAUGUCAAGUCGAAGGGCAACAGCCUGCCUUCUGUAAAACACAGCCCCUGUCCACUGAACAGCCCACCAGGAAGGGUUUGGGCAUCACCCAUGGGGUUGCUUCUCAUCUCCAGUCCGUGUGUGAAGCACGAGGCACUCACACCUCAUUUAAGCUGGAGCAUCAGCCACCACCAGCCAGGUGUCCCUGCCCUUCCCGCUGCAGCGCAGCCACUGAGCGCUGGGGCUCUCGGCACGUGGUGCCUCAGGGCUGCCCACACGCCCCCUCCCGCCAGAUGUAGUCCAGGCCCAGCUGGGCCCGCGCAGGGAUCCCAGCACGGCCACCUGACUGAGUGCGAGGGGUGCUGCGGCCUCGGCUUGUGCUCCGCCGCCGGCGCUGCGGCCAGUGGAAGGCGCCUGCCUUGCACACGGGCCCUGGAAGCGCACUGCGGCCUUUAUCUGCGGCGCCUCCUAGUGGGUCAAUGGCAAAUCCUCUUGGUUCUCGCGAGAUUUCUUCCUCAGUGGGGAUUAUAUAAUUUCCCUUAGGCGGGGUGGUGGGGUGCUGGCGCCACCCUCCUUCAGAAAAAGUUAGGUGCCAGCAUAAUUGGGAGUAAGAGAGUUGUCCCUGGGGACACGUGUGGAAAGGGUACUGCGUCCCCCCACACACACACUCAGCUGGACAAUGAGUCCUCUUAUGCUAAUGAGCACUUACGUCACUUCCGCUCUUUCUCAGCCGCCAUUUUGGCUAGGGCAGGUUCGGGGACUCGCUCUGAGGCGCUUGUAUUGUCUGCUGAGGGGAGACGCGGGACCUGCCCCCUCCCCCGCCCGUUGCAGCCGCAGCCGCCGCCGGCCCGGUCUCCCCUCCGCCGCCCGCCGAGAUCCAUGAGCUGAACUCCCGCCCCCCCGGCCGCCGCCAUCUUGUUCCCCCUCCCCCUCCCGCGGGCAGCGCUAAGGGGGAUUUUGGCGUCUCCUCAGGCACAGCUCCCUCUCUCGGUCCCCGCAGCUGAGGAGCGAGAGGAGCGCGGCCGCCGCCGUCCGCCCGCCCGAGCCAGUGAAGCGGCCUCUCCCACACCCUCCGUCUCCUCCCUCCGCCCCUCCUUUGUCUGCACCGCUCGACGACGCCGCCGCCCGCGCGGGGACUGGAGGAAGCCGCUCGCGCCGCCGCCGCCGCCCGCCGCUCUGCUGCGCCCGCCGCGCCCCCCGGCAGCAGCCGCGGCCGCGGCGCGAGCCGGAGCCCGCCGAGGCCACCGAGCCCGGGCGCGCCCUCGCCGCCACCGCCGUGCCGCCGCCGCCCGCCCGCCGCUACCGCCCGGCCCCCGAGCACGCCGGCCCCGCGCGCGCCUCGAGGCCGAGUCAAGCUCCAAGAAUCUACUAAGGAUGACUUUAAGUGAGGACUUACUACAUCCUACUGUUCCCUGGCCUCUUGGAUUGGAGCAGAUUUGCCAGAAAAGUGAACUCUCUACUAAGAUUUUUUUGAAGUACUUAACAGUUUGGGGACAUUAAUAUAUGACCAUAGAGUCACUCAUUCAAUAUUGUCCAAAAUGGUCUGGAAAUUUGUGUUUAUUUCUGUAUCUUCUGCUUGUGUUUGUGAGGGUGUUUCUGGAAGAGAUUAGUAUUUGAAUUGGUAAGCUGAAUAAAGGAGAUCCAUCCUCACCAAUGUGGGUGGGUGUCUUCCAGUCUUUGAGGGUUGAAUAGAACAGGAUGGUGGAGGAAGGGGGAAUUUACUCUCCUCUCUUGACCUACCCCUGGACUUUGGCACUCUUGGCCUUUCCUCUAGGACUGGGACCCACACCAUUGCUCCCCUGGUUCAGACUCAAGACUGUAUUACACUGGCUUUCUUGAGUUUCCAGCUUGCAGAUGUCAGAUCGUGGCUCCAUAGUCUCAAGAGCCAAUUCCUAUGAUGAAUCUCCAUUGUUAUAUUUGUUGGUUCUGUUUCUUCAGAAAACUAUGACUAACAAAACAUACUAAGGAUACAUGAAGGCCCAGAAACAGUAUUUUGUGUCAGGGACACAGAUGAAUAAAGAGAUGGGAAAAUGUAGUGGUUAAAGCCAGAGAUAUUGACAUAGGACAACCUGAGUUCGAACCCCAGUUUUGCCCUUCAUCCCCUGAAUGACCUUGCCUGCCUGUACCUCUCCGGAGCCUGUUUCUCUCUUCUCCAAAAUGGUGUUGAGACAGGGGAGUAAGCCAGAAUAAGAAUAGGGAAACUGAGACACUUAAGCAGCACUUUGCAGCCACAUGGUAAGUCCUGUCUUCCCUAAACCUAGGACAUUCCUCCCCAACCAGAAAGAAGGUAAAUAGCUUAAAUCACUUAGGUAGGCAGUAAGAGUCCAAGUAGUGCCAUUUGGCAACCACACCCAAGGACAGAUGAAGUUAAGAGAAUAAAUCUCAUUUUGGUACUUUAGCAUAAAGCAGAUAAAUAUUCUAUUGAUUCUUCCCUAAAUGCUCAGCCUUUAAACCCCUCAAAAUGGCCUGCGGACUGAAGGGUCCCAGGUUCAAUUCUGGACUGGGGCACAUGCCCAGUAGGGGGUGUGCAGAAGGCAGCCGAUCAAUGAUUCUCCUCAUUGAUGUUUCUAUCUCUCUCCUUUGAUCUCUGAAAUCAAUAAAAAAAUAUUUUUAAAAAAUAAAUAAAACACCUCAAAAUAAAGGGCCCACCCAAGGUCUUCCUCCCAGGAGCAUGCAUUUUACCCCCCACAGGUAAGCAUCUCCUAAGCUCUAAGGGACCCCAUGAGGCUUGCAACCAGGGCAGCAGUGGGCAGCAGCAGUUCAUACCAGGCAAACCCCUGAACCUGUUCCCAAGGCCUCUUUUUCUUUUUCUCUGACUCCUUGGUGGGCUCAUUUCCCCCUCCUAGUUCUCCUGUUGUCCUAGGCCCUUUGUUGUCUCACUGUCCCCAGCUUUAAUAAACGUCCUCUAAAAUUUA
Myotis myotis is the source of this 3755-nucleotide RNA transcript. It is a transcript of the gene named dolichyl-phosphate mannosyltransferase subunit 1, catalytic, with no coding region annotated. Lineage: Eukaryota; Metazoa; Chordata; Mammalia; Chiroptera; Vespertilionidae. The transcript is spliced from 10 exons. The record is from RefSeq and is a predicted model, not a curated record.